Molecule: ribosomal RNA, 434 nt
Filed under: uncultured bacterium
Lineage: Bacteria
Description: partial 16S ribosomal RNA
Rfam family: Bacterial small subunit ribosomal RNA
Source: RNAcentral
AGCGAACGCUGGCGGCAGGCCUAACACAUGCAAGUCGAACGAACCUUUCGGGGUUAGUGGCGGACGGGUGAGUAACACGUGGGAACGUGCCUUUAGGUUCGGAAUAACUCAGGGAAACUUGUGCUAAUACCGAAUGUGCCCUUCGGGGGAAAGAUUAAUCGCCUUUAGAGCGGCCCGCGUCUGAUUAGCUAGUUGGUUGAGGUAAUGGCUCACCAAGGCGACGGUCAGUAGCUGGUCUGAGAGGAUGAUCAGCCACAUUGGGACUGAGACACGGCCCAAACUCCUACGGGAGGCAGCAGUGGGGAAUCUUGCGCAAUGGGCGAAAGCCUGACGCAGCCAUGCCGCGUGAAUGAUGAAGGUCUUAGGAUUGUAAAAUUCUUUCACCGGGGACGAUAAUUACGGUACCCGGAGAAGAAGCCCCGGCUAACUUCGUG